Molecule: ribosomal RNA, 843 nt
Filed under: uncultured Gammaproteobacteria bacterium
Lineage: Bacteria; Pseudomonadati; Pseudomonadota; Gammaproteobacteria
Description: bacterial SSU rRNA
Rfam family: Bacterial small subunit ribosomal RNA
Source: RNAcentral
GCGGUAUGCUUAACACAUGCAAGUCGAACGGAAACGAAACUAGCUUGCUAGUAGGCGUCGAGUGGCGGACGGGUGAGUAACGCGUAGGAAUCUGCCUGAUAGUGGGGGAUAGCCCGGAGAAAUUCGGAUUAAUACCGCAUAAUCUAUUCGUAGUAAAGUGGGGGACUUUCGAGCCUCACGCUAUCAGAUGAGCCUGCGUAAGAUUAGCUUGUUGGUAGGGUAAAAGCCUACCAAGGCAACGAUCUUUAGCUGGUCUGAGAGGAUGAUCAGCCACAUCGGGACUGAGACACGGCCCGAACUCCUACGGGAGGCAGCAGUGGGGAAUAUUGGACAAUGGGGGCAACCCUGAUCCAGCAAUACCGCGUGUGUGAAGAAGGCCUGAGGGUUGUAAAGCACUUUCAAUUGUGAAGAAAAGUUAACGGUUAACAACCGUUGACCUUGACGUUAACUUUAGAAGAAGCACCGGCUAACUCCGUGCCAGCAGCCGCGGUAAUACGGAGGGUGCAAGCGUUAAUCGGAAUUACUGGGCGUAAAGCGUGCGUAGGCGGUUUAUUAAGUCAGAUGUGAAAGCCCCGGGCUUAACCUGGGAACUGCAUUUGAAACUGGUCAACUAGAGUAUGGUAGAGGAAAGUGGAAUUUCUGGUGUAGCGGUGAAAUGCGUAGAUAUCAGAAGGAACAUCAAUGGCGAAGGCAGCUUUCUGGACCAAUACUGACGCUGAGGUACGAAAGCGUGGGUAGCAAACAGGAUUAGAUACCCUGGUAGUCCACGCCGUAAACGAUGAUAACUAGCCGUUGGGGGGAUUUACCCCUUAGUGGCGAAGCUAACGCGUUAAGUUAUCCGCC